This 1113-nucleotide ribosomal RNA is filed under the name Incrucipulum longispineum. RNAcentral describes it as "partial large subunit ribosomal RNA". It matches the Rfam family "Eukaryotic large subunit ribosomal RNA", at positions 134 to 1411 of the family's 3401-position model. Lineage: Eukaryota; Fungi; Ascomycota; Leotiomycetes; Helotiales; Lachnaceae. The record is from RNAcentral.
GGGCCCGAGUUGUAAUUUGUAGAAGAUGCUUUGGGUGUGGCCCCGGUCUAAGUUCCUUGGAACAGGACGUCAUAGAGGGUGAGAAUCCCGUAUGUGACUGGGUGCUUUCGCCCGUGUAAAGCUCUUUCGACGAGUCGAGUUGUUUGGGAAUGCAGCUCAAAAUGGGUGGUAAAUUUCAUCUAAAGCUAAAUAUUGGCCAGAGACCGAUAGCGCACAAGUAGAGUGAUCGAAAGAUGAAAAGCACUUUGGAAAGAGAGUUAAACAGUACGUGAAAUUGUUGAAAGGGAAGCGCUUGCAACCAGACUCGCAUGCCGUCGAUCAUCCUGGGUUCUCCCUGGUGCACUCGGCGGCGUUCGGGCCAGCAUCGGUUUUGGUGGUGGGAUAAAGGCCUUGGGAAUGUGGCUCCUCUCGGGGAGUGUUAUAGCCCUCGGUGCAAUGCCGCCUACCGGGACCGAGGACCGCGCUUCGGCUAGGAUGCUGGCGUAAUGGUUGUAAGCGACCCGUCUUGAAACACGGACCAAGGAGUCUAACAUCUAUGCGAGUAUUUGGGUGUCAAACCCAUAUGCGUAAUGAAAGUGAACGGAGGUGAGAACCCUUAAGGGUGCAUCAUCGACCGAUCCUGAUGUCUUCGGAUGGAUUUGAGUAAGAGCAUAGCUGUUGGGACCCGAAAGAUGGUGAACUAUGCCUAAAUAGGGUGAAGCCAGAGGAAACUCUGGUGGAGGCUCGCAGCGGUUCUGACGUGCAAAUCGAUCGUCAAAUUUGGGUAUAGGGGCGAAAGACUAAUCGAACCAUUGAUUACUGGGUGGUCAAGAGACACUGUGAGAGCAGUGUUUAGUCCUAGGUCAUAGGGCAACAUUAUCAAAUUGUACGGGGACGUCCCGCUAUAAAUCCAAGCUACCGCAGUUGCCGCGAAAGCGCAGCACGCACCGGGUUAACGACCUCGGGGAUGGUAAUAACGCAAGGAUAGGGAUAAUCCGCAGCCAAGUCCUACCGGUGUGUACCACACCCACGGAUGCAGUUCACAGACUAGAUGGUAAUGGGCCGCGCUCUAUGGAGCGCGGCUUAAGUUAUAGUCGAACCGCCAGGAGACUGGUCUGUACAGAGGAAGAGCCU